Molecule: small RNA, 434 nt
Filed under: Bacillus sp. B-jedd
Lineage: Bacteria; Bacillati; Bacillota; Bacilli; Caryophanales; Bacillaceae
Description: cspA thermoregulator
Rfam family: cspA thermoregulator
Source: Rfam by way of RNAcentral
AGGUUGUCGAAUGGUGGAAAAUAAAGGAUGAUUAGUUUUUAUCCCUUCGCUUGCCUUUUAUUUCUAUUCAUGUUAUUCUAAUCAAGAAUUAUUUUUGUUCGGUAACAAGCGACAUCGCCUGGAUACGUUUGAGCAAGAAUAGUAAUACAAUUGUGUGGUAAACACACUAGGAGGCAACAAAAAUGGAAAACGGUAAAGUAAAAUGGUUUAAUGCAGAAAAAGGUUUCGGAUUCAUCGAGCGCGAAGGUGGAGACGAUGUAUUCGUUCACUUCUCAGCUAUCCAAGGCGAAGGCUUCAAAACUCUUGAAGAAGGCCAAGAAGUAACUUUCGACGUUGAACAAGGAGCUCGUGGACCACAAGCUGCUAACGUUCGCAAAAACUAAUUUUAGGUUUUGCCCAUAAAAAACAGGUUCCCUUAGGGGAGCCUGUUUUUA